Long non-coding RNA from Homo sapiens (human), 1780 nucleotides. Ensembl annotates it as long intergenic non-protein coding RNA 2334. Lineage: Eukaryota; Metazoa; Chordata; Mammalia; Primates; Hominidae. The record is from Ensembl.
AAAGGGCGUUUUUUACAGUGCUCUUUUAGCUCUGCUGACCGCGGAUGGCUUAAGUGUUAACAGCUCAGUGGGCCCUUUGCCUUUUCUCAUGAGUCGGCUGCCCUGUGCCAGCAAGGGCAAAGGGCCAGUGUAACAGCCUUUUGUAUCUGCACUCGUGGCUCCUGAGCUCCUGUUCGGCACACAGGAAAAAUGAGGUCGCACCAACAAACUGAAGGAUGGUAAAUGUUGAGGAUUUUAUUGCCAAUGAAAGCGGCUGUCACUGGGAGCUGAAAAGGUAAUGGAAAGCUGAAAAGCGGAUAAGGUGGGUAGGUACCUGAAGUCUGGCCAUCUACGGCAGCUGGAUUCUUCUCCAAAGUUAUACUGUCAAGCUGUCCCUCUGAAGCCAAGCCACUUCUCUUUGACAUCCAGCCGUAGUCUCUGCUCCUCUCCAACUGAGUAUGAGGGAGAUGUUUCCUAUUAUCCUUGAUAAUGUGCCAUGAACAUAUGAAAAAACAUAGAAACAUGAAGAAAACAAGAAGACAAAAAUCACUAACAUCUGGUUGGCUGUAUAGAAACAAAGCUGAUUCUGGUUGGAGUGCAGUGGUAAGAUCACAGCUCACUGCUGCCUUGACUUCCUGGGCUCAAGUGAUUCUCCUGCCUCAGUCUCCUCAGUAGCUCGGACUACAGCUUGCAAAUGGAUCUUACAGACGUUGUCACAGAGACAAGAAAAGGAGAGGAGCCAAGAUGGCUGAAUAGGAACAGCUCCGGUCUACAGCUCCCAGAGUGAGCGACGCAGAAGACGGGUGAUUUCUGCAUUUCCAUCUGUGGUACCAGGUUCAUCUUACUAGGAACUGCCAGACAGUGGGCGCAGGACAGUGGGUGCAGCGCACUGUGCAUGAGCUGAAGCAGGGUGAGGCAUUGCCUCACUCAGGAAGCGCAAGGGGUCAGGGAGUUCCCUUUCCUAGUCAAAGAAAGGGGUGACAGAUGGCACUUGGAAAAUCGGGUCACUCCCACCCGAAUACAGCGCUUUGCCAACGGGCUUAAAAAACGGUGCACCAGGAGAUUAUAUCCCGCACCUGGCUCGGAGGGUCCUACACCCACGUAGUCUCACUGAUUGCUAGCACAGCAGUCUGAGAUCAAACUGCAAGGCGGCAGCGAGGCUGGGGGAGGGGUGCCUGCCAUUGCCCAGGCUUGCUUAGGUAAACAAAGCAGCCGGGAAGCUCAAGCUGGGUGGAGCCCACCACAGCUCAAGGAGGCCUGCCUGCCUCUGUAGGCUCCACCACUGGGCGGCAGGGCACAGACAAACAAAAAGACAGCAGUAACCUCUGCAGACUUAAAUGUCCCUGUCUGACAGCUUUGAAGAGAGCAGUGGUUCUCCCAGCACGCAGCUGGAGAUCUGAGAACAGGCAGACUGCCUCCUCAAGUGGGUCCCUGACCCCUGACCCCUGAGCAGCCUAACUGGGAGGCACACCCCAGUAGGGGCAGACUGACACCUCACAGGGCCGGGUACUCCUCUGAGACAACACUUCCAGAGUAACGAUCAGACAGCAGCAUUCGCAGUUCACGAAAAUCUGCUGUUCUGCAGACACUGCUGCUGAUACCCAGGCAAACAGGGUCUGGAGUGGACCUCUAGCAAACUCCAACAGACCUGCAGCUGAGGGUCCUUUCUGUUAGAAGGAAAACUAACAAACAGAAAGGACAUCCACACCAAAAACCCAUCUGUACAUCACCAUCAUCAAAGUAGAUAAAACCACAAAAGUAGAUAAAACCACAAAGAUGGGGAAAAAACAGAGCAGAAAAA